CACAGCGCCGCCUACUGGUAGGGCCCCGCCAGAACUGACAUAGACAGGUGCAGUCUCCAGGUGUGCCCAUACUUUUCUUGCACCAUGAAGCUGAGCAGCCUCUCUCUACUCUCUGUGACCAUCCUCCUUUGCCUCCGCAUAGCUCAGCCUGGAAUCCUGAAGACUGCACCGAAACCUGGAUAUUGCCCAGAGUUUGAUUUUGACUGCCCUUUCACCCUCUUACCUGUGUGCUGGUACGAUAAAGACUGCCGGGGGGUCAAGAAGUGUUGCUUCUACAACUGUCAAUAUCAGUGUAUGGAGCCCUGGUGGACUUUGUAUUAAGGUGGAAACUCCUUAACCAAGCCUGAGGAGGUGCCGGUUGCUACAGGCUCAGAUUUGGAUAACUGGUCUCCAAUUCAUCCAUGAUCUUCCCAGGCCCAAGAUGUACUUUUAGAAUUAAAUGCUUAUUAACAUGACAAGAAGGCAAAGAGAUAAAGCAUUGUAUAUU
Molecule: long non-coding RNA, 487 nt
Organism: Callithrix jacchus (white-tufted-ear marmoset)
Lineage: Eukaryota; Metazoa; Chordata; Mammalia; Primates; Cebidae
Source: RefSeq, a predicted model, not a curated record